CCGUGCUAGAUGGGGAGGUAGCGGUGCCCUGUAACCUGCAACCCGCUAUAGCAGGAUCGAAGCCCAGUUGCGGCGUCUAUAUCUUAGGGUCUGCCCUAAAUAAGCGGUGUUGACGAAUGGGUCCUGCGCAACGGGAAUCUAUGAACCCCGUCAGGUCCGGGAGGAAGCAGCGGUAAGUAGACACUUCCGUGUGCCGUAGGGGUGCCUGUUCUGAGCUGGCUGUUUAGGUACCGCUUAGGAGUAGGCGACAAGGCUGGGUGCACGG
RNAcentral lists this signal recognition particle RNA (265 nucleotides) under Tissierellia bacterium. RNAcentral describes it as "signal recognition particle sRNA large type". It matches the Rfam family "Bacterial large signal recognition particle RNA". From Rfam's summary of the family: The signal recognition particle (SRP) is a universally conserved ribonucleoprotein involved in the co-translational targeting of proteins to membranes. Archaeal SRP consists of a 7S RNA and homologues of the eukaryotic SRP19 and SRP54 proteins. Lineage: Bacteria; Bacillati; Bacillota; Tissierellia. The record is from RNAcentral.